GAAGAUGUCACGAAGACCACGAAACUUAAAAGAACUCUGAGGAAGGGUUGUAGAAACGUUCUUUAAAAUGCUGAAACUUUAAGCUUGAAGACAAACAGCUGCGCUUUCUCUCACUGUUGCUAUUUCAAAUUGAUCUCAGGAAAUUCACAGCCUCUGAAUGCCUGAUUCCCUGCACGGAAGAGCAUCGUUCCAUCUCAUUCCAUAAUGACACAAUACAAGAAAAUUACCUCAUGUCCAAAGGAGCAGAGCUCACCAACAUGCUCAUCUCUCUCAAGGAUGGACUGGCACCGUGCAGUCUUAAUAGUCUCCUCUCAUUCGCACUGGAAUACGGGAUACCAAUAAAUUGGUAGCUCACAUUGAAAAUAUCCUACCUUAUGAUUUGGGAAUGGGUUGCACCAUCUCAAACCCAUUGUGCUCAACUUAUUCUGUGGUACGGUGCAUUUUUCAGCUUUCUCUAUCUUAUAAAACAAAAUCAGGAAUCCAACCCCUUAAUUAAUUGGUAUUUUCUGAAACCAUUACGAUGCUUAAAACUUAACUUGGCUAUUGAAAAAAACAUUAACCCUGUAGGGGUGGAACUGCAGUACAUAUGAAGCACGUGUUUAAGUUUUGCUUCUAUUAAACUUGUGAGGAGAAAAAGAAAAAAGAAAUACAACCUUACAUAGAACUCCAAAGUCUUUGCUUCCUAAGCAAGAUUUGUUUAUCACGUCAUAGAUAUUAUAAAACUGGUGAGAAUCUGUCAUAACAGGAAACUAAAGCAUUUUUGUCUGAAAACAUAAACAGAACUGCACUUCAUCUGAAUGCCUCCACAUCCCCUCAUCCUCUACCACUCCCACUUCAGGCCUUUGAUUUUACAUCUCCCUCUAUGUCUCCCAUCCCAGUACAAUACACCCAAAGUCUUGGUCCAUCUGUUGGCAGCAGCUGCAGCACAGCCCCAUACUUGAUUCCUCUGUUCCUUCUCCGUGCUGAGAAAAGCAAAGGUCCCAGUGGCAGAAUGAUGAACAGCAAAGCAGAAUGAAGGUUUGGGAAUGCUGCUGAUAAAAACUGAAAAAGUACACUCAGUAACAGUCUAAACCAGCAUAAGAAAACCAUUACCCCUUAUAUCCAUUCGGUCCAUUCUUCCAGGUAGAUCAGAUAGAUGCCAACAAGCAGCAGCUCAAUUAUUUGCUGGCAUCUCAGGAAAUUGUCUUUCUUAAAGCAUGUCCUACAGCAAGCAUGCAUCAUACCUGACAUGCAGGGAAGCAUGGCAUAUAGCGAUGAUGUACCUCAGCCCAACCUAUGUGGGAAGUAGAACGAAACUUAUCAAUGUAUUGCAUGCAGACUGCAGGUACAACAUCACAUUUAUUCUUUGUGCAAUUCCAGCUCUGUCACACAGCUGAAAUAAAUUGUUAGAAGAUAAAACAUCGCUUUACCACAUGAGAUAUUUUUGUAUCCAAAUUACACGCUCUGUGUAUAAUAAAGAUUAUCACUUGAUUAUUCUGAGGCAGACGAUGUAUUCAGAGGGUGUCACACUGAAAUAAUGCUCCCACGGAUGUUUCACUUUGCAAAAACUGUCAUAACUGAAAUCUCAUCUCUUUAGGCAGCUCUCCCAAGAUGAAGCCCGCUGCAGAUUGGCACACUGCUUUCACUUGAAUAACUAAUGCUGAAAGAUGGACUGCGUGCUGAGGGUGAUACUCCACUAGAUAGAUAACCAAACUUCCUCUAAUGAUGACAUUAAAAUGAUGCUAAAACAGACCGUAAUCUUUAUGAGUAUGAUUAGAAAGAAGUUCACCUCUUUCCCUGAUCUACUUAAAGGGAGAAAAAAAAAAUCUUUAAAAGCUUUCGUAGCCUCCUGUGCUAACUGAUAUUUCAUGAUAUUCCUCUGAGACACUGGGUACUGGUAACUGCUGCAGCUGUAUGUCCAGCAUGGAUAUAUUCAAGGACAGAAACACCAAAUGCUGUGGAUGCCCUUUUCUCUUCAUCUCUGCGGUCACUGCUCUCAUCAUGCAAUACAUUGGCAGCCAAGCAGCUAUAGAGUUCCUCCAUUCAAAUCAUGGUUGCAAAGUAUUGGCACUGAGGCAAACAUUGUUUCACUGUAGCAUCCAGACUCUGCAUCAAACUUCAUGGUUAACCUUGUCCUGCAGAGUAGCCUCGGGCUCACAUCAGUGACAGUUGCCAGAAUGCAUUCUGCUCACAUUCUGCAAGUACAUUCCACACACAUUAUAGCAUAUUGGAUAUACAAGCUCCCCUUUAAAGGAAGGGGUAAAAUGAAAAGAAAAAAAAAAUUAUUUUUAAGAGUAAGAGGAAAGUGAAUUGAACAUAAAAUAGUAGGCGGAAGUAUAUUCGUGAUCUAGCCCCCAAUACCACCACGAUAGAGGGGUUGGAUUAAGGAUUAACCUCUAAGUUUCAUUCCAACCCAAACUGUUCAAUGACUGUAAGUGAAAUUAAUCUUAGGCUGAACAAAUAGUGUUUGAUUAGAUAAG
RNAcentral lists this long non-coding RNA (2459 nucleotides) under Gallus gallus (chicken). RNAcentral describes it as "lncRNA (ENSGALG00010025104.1)". Lineage: Eukaryota; Metazoa; Chordata; Aves; Galliformes; Phasianidae. The record is from RNAcentral.